Molecule: long non-coding RNA, 695 nt
Filed under: Brassica napus (rape)
Lineage: Eukaryota; Viridiplantae; Streptophyta; Magnoliopsida; Brassicales; Brassicaceae
Description: long non-coding RNA (BNAP_LNC003880)
Source: RNAcentral
CAUACCCCUCCUUCUAACUGUGGAAGUCCACCUUACGACCCAAGUCCUCCAUCUCACACUCCAACUCCUUCUACUCCAUCUCACACUCCUUCAACUCCAUCUCACACUCCCUCAACUCCUUCUCAUACUCCAACUCCUUCGACUCCAUCUCACACACCAACUCCAUCACACACUAGUCCUCCUUGCCACUGUGGAACUCCACCUUCACACCCUUCCACACCUUCACGGCCUUCAAGGCCUUCACACCCAUCCAGGCCUUCACGCCCUUCCACGCCUUCAAAUCCUCCUUCUGGUGGAUACUACUCAUCUCCUCCACCAAGUACUCCUGUCGUUGUGACGCCACCAACACCCAUUGUUGACCCAGGCACACCCAGUACUGGAGGAACCCCUCCUUCUUCUGGUGGAUAUUACUCAUCUCCUCCACCAAGUACUCCAGUCGUUGAGACUCCACCAACACCUAUUGUUGACCCAGGCACACCCAUCGUUGGAGAAACCCCACCAACUCCUUCUUCUGGUGGAUAUUACUCAUCUCCUCCACCAAGUACUCCAGUCAUUGAGACUCCACCAACACCCAUUGUUGACCCAGGCACACCCAUCAUUGGAGGAACCCCACCAACUCCUUUCAUUGACCCUGGCACUCCUGGAACCCCCUUCCUUCCUGCUCCUUUUCCACCAAUCACUGGAACAUGCGAGUA